This 434-nucleotide ribosomal RNA is filed under the name uncultured bacterium. RNAcentral's name for it is "bacterial SSU rRNA". It matches the Rfam family "Bacterial small subunit ribosomal RNA", at positions 957 to 1391 of the family's 1533-position model. The record is from RNAcentral.
GAACGCGAAGAACCUUACCCGGGCUUGAAUUGCAGAGGAAGGAUUUAGAGAUAAUGACGCCCUUCGGGGCCUCUGUGAAGGUGCUGCAUGGUUGUCGUCAGCUCGUGCCGUGAGGUGUCGGCUUAAGUGCCAUAACGAGCGCAACCCCUCUCUUCAGUUGCCAUCAGGUUAAGCUGGGCACUCUGGAGACACUGCCACCGUAAGGUGUGAGGAAGGUGGGGAUGACGUCAAAUCAGCACGGCCCUUACGUCCGGGGCUACACACGUGUUACAAUGGCCGGUACAGAGGGACGGUGUAAUGCAAAUUGCAUCCAAUCUUGAAAGCCGGUCCCAGUUCGGACUGGGGUCUGCAACCCGACCCCACGAAGCUGGAUUCGCUAGUAAUCGCGCAUCAGCCAUGGCGCGGUGAAUACGUUCCCGGGUCUUGUACACACC